CAUGGAGGGGUGGGGUCCCUCAGCCCGGAUUGUGAGAGGGUGCAGGCCAGGCCGAGGGACCCCAUCAGUGCAGA
Non-coding RNA from Myotis brandtii (Brandt's bat), 74 nucleotides. The record is from Rfam. Lineage: Eukaryota; Metazoa; Chordata; Mammalia; Chiroptera; Vespertilionidae.